GUGGGGAAUAUUGGACAAUGGGCGAAAGCCUGAUCCAGCCAUGCCGCGUGUGUGAAGAAGGUCUUCGGAUUGUAAAGCACUUUAAGUUGGGAGGAAGGGCAGUAAGUUAAUACCUUGCUGUUUUGACGUUACCGACAGAAUAAGCACCGGCUAACUUCGUGCCAGCAGCCGCGGUAAUACGAAGGGUGCAAGCGUUAAUCGGAAUUACUGGGCGUAAAGCGCGCGUAGGUGGUUUUGUAAGUUGGAGGUGAAAUCCCCGGGCUCAACCUGGGAACUUCCUCCAAAACUGCAUGACUAGAGUACGGUAGAGGGUAGUGGAAUUUCCUGUGUAGCGGUGAAAUGCGUAGAUAUAGGAAGGAACACCAGUGGCGAAGGCGACUACCUGGACUGAUACUGACACUGAGGUGCGAAAGCGUGGGGAGCAAACAGGAUUAGAAACCCGAGUAGUCC
Molecule: ribosomal RNA, 450 nt
Filed under: uncultured bacterium
Lineage: Bacteria
Description: partial 16S ribosomal RNA
Rfam family: Bacterial small subunit ribosomal RNA
Source: RNAcentral